AUUGAACGCUGGCGGCAUGCUUUACACAUGCAAGUCGAACGGCAGCGCGGGCUUCGGCCUGGCGGCGAGUGGCGAACGGGUGAGUAAUACAUCGGAACGUGCCCAGUAGUGGGGGAUAGCUCGGCGAAAGCCGGAUUAAUACCGCAUACGACCUGAUGGUGAAAGCGGGGGAUCUUCGGACCUCGCGCUAUUGUAGCGGCCGAUGGCAGAUUAGCUAGUUGGUGGGGUAAAGGCCUACCAAGGCGACGAUCUGUAGCUGGUCUCAGAGGACGACCAGCCACACUGGGACUGAGACACGGCCCAGACUCCUACGGGAGGCAGCAGUGGGGAAUUGUGGACAAUGGGCGAAAGCCUGAUCCAGCAAUGCCGCGUGUGUGAUGAAGGCCUUCGGGUUGUAAAGCACUUUUGGCGGGAACGAAAAGGACUGUGCCAAUACCACGGUUCGAUGACGGUACCCGCAGAAUAAGCACCGGCUAACUACGUG
This 484-nucleotide ribosomal RNA is filed under the name uncultured bacterium. Its description in RNAcentral is "partial 16S ribosomal RNA". It matches the Rfam family "Bacterial small subunit ribosomal RNA", at positions 30 to 507 of the family's 1533-position model. The record is from RNAcentral.